This 384-nucleotide ribosomal RNA is filed under the name uncultured bacterium. RNAcentral describes it as "bacterial SSU rRNA". It matches the Rfam family "Bacterial small subunit ribosomal RNA", at positions 29 to 416 of the family's 1533-position model. The record is from RNAcentral.
AUUGAACGCUGGCGGCAUGCUUUACACAUGCAAGUCGAACGGUAACAGGCCGCAAGGUGCUGACGAGUGGCGAACGGGUGAGUAAUGCAUCGGAACGUGCCCAGUCGUGGGGGAGUAACUACUCGAAGAGUAGCUAAUACCGCAUACGAUCUAUGGAUGAAAGCGGGGGACCGGUAAGGCCUCGCGCGAUUGGAGCGGCCGAUGUCAGAUUAGGUAGUUGGUGGGGUAAGGCUCACCAAGCCAACGAUCUGUAGCUGGUUUGAGAGGACGACCAGCCACACUGGGACUGAGACACGGCCCAGACUCCUACGGGAGGCAGCAGUGGGGAAUUUUGGACAAUGGGCGCAAGCCUGAUCCAGCAAUGCCGCGUGCAGGAAGAAGGCC